AACAGGAAAAGAAAGAAAAGCACAUAGAAACAGCAAAGACACCAAAAAAGGAACAUCCAGAAGCUGAGCAAGCCAAAGAAGAGAUUGCUCCUGCCUCAACAAAAAAGGCCCUGCAUGGAAAGAAAGAAGAGAAAGCCAAGACAGUGGAGCAAGGUAAAAAAAAAAGUGAAGCAGGUUGACAUUAUCUUCUUUAGGAAGAAAACUACAUGAGGAGGAAAACACUGGAUUCAGACAGGCGGAAGACAAUUAUCUUUAAAUCUCUUGCUCUAGAGCAAUGUCCUUGCAUUUGUUCAGGACAGGGAGGAUGUGGGAUGACUGUCUGGCCUUGUCUUUUUAUUGUUUACCAAGUUCUGAGUAUAAAUUCAGAAAAGCAAAUGUGUAUAGACUGCUUCCUUACGUCAGCGUCAGCAGAGAAGCUGAAGAGUGAUAAUGAGAUGAGCUAGAUAACUGGUAGACAUUUUUUUUUCUGUUUGACCUUUUGUUUUCCAUACCACCUCAGAGAUAAUAGUUCAAAGAAUAAACAUGAUUCAAACUUAUUUAUGAUAAAAAAUAAUUGUAUUACUUUAAAAAUAAUUUGUUAUAUUAAGACACUGGGGUAAACAAUAUAAAAGUUAUUAUAGUUGAUAUCAUGACUUUGGUUUUCGUGGUUGAUUUACACAAAAAAAGCCUGAAAAUUUAUUGUUAUGCAUUGUAAAGUCAUAUAUAUACAUAUACACAUAUAUAUAUUUGGUAUACCACAAUAUCACUCUAGAAUAUGCUUUAAACAUGCUCUUGACCACUGUCUGAUAUCAUUGAAAGUGAUACUUUGCCUUUUCUUAAAACUGAAAAAAUUAAGGAUUUGUGAGCUUUGAAAAAUGAAAAUAAUAUGAUAGUUAUAUCAAUAAAGGUUUUCCUUUUAUUGUGGCUUCUGGGUACC
Molecule: long non-coding RNA, 916 nt
Filed under: Rattus norvegicus (Norway rat)
Lineage: Eukaryota; Metazoa; Chordata; Mammalia; Rodentia; Muridae
Description: long non-coding RNA NONRATT002023
Source: RNAcentral